AAUCUACAGGUCGAGCAAGUCUCGUAAAUUUCACGAUUGCGAGCCACGCUUCACGCAACCGUGUUUGCGUACUUGUGUUUCGAGUUGCGUGGUCGUGCGGAGUUAUAUUUACCAAAUUUAAAUAUAAUCGUUUCUACUGAUUCAUAAUAAUAUAUUUAUGUCAAUAUGGCUACUGCUGGGUGUAAAAGAUAAAUAUUAUUCUAUCUGUUCUUAAUGAGUUUUAGAUAAUUUUAGUUGUAUUUCUUUGUAAUUUUGUGUUGUACAAAGAUUAAUUUAACAUUUUCUCUGGAAGUAUUAAUUUAGAAAGAUAAUAUGCUUCAUUGGUGUUGUGUUUUGAAGUGUGAAAUGCAAAGUAAUUGUGAUAGAGUCAAGAUAAAGUUCACUUUUCAACUGAACUAAAUAAGGUAUCUGAGAGACAACAAUGGUUAAAUGCAAUACAAUGUACAGGUUUUACUAGCGAAAUGAAAAUUUUCCUGUCCUGUCUGCUGUAAUCAUUUUAUAUCUGGUAAGUUACAAUUACAACAGUAACGAUUUUUGAAGAUGUUAACAUUUUAAUCUUAUAGGAAAACCAGCCGACUUAAUCGAUAAUAACAAUCUCCAGAUUGGGUUCCUUCAAUAAAUAUGGGCUAUAAACACAAUGAAAUAAGUUCCCCAAAAUCUAAAAUGGAGUGGUAUCAAAGGAGAAUUAAAGGAAAAAAUAUUCAUAUUGAAAUUAUUUAUAAGGCACUGGACUGUCUUAAAUUCUACAAUAAUACUAGAAUCAGCUGAGAGAAGUGGUCUACAAAAAACCAGGAAGGAAAUGGAAUAUGUGGCUACGAAAGGCAAAAGAAAGGUUUACAAAGCAAAUGUGACACAUUUUUUUGAAAUAUUUAGGAAUAUCAGUAAAUUGCAUUAAAAAAAUGUAUGAAAAGAUUUUGUUCAAUAAAAAUGUUUAUAUUUA
RNAcentral lists this long non-coding RNA (940 nucleotides) under Diabrotica virgifera virgifera (western corn rootworm). Its description in RNAcentral is "uncharacterized LOC126887334". The record is from RNAcentral. Lineage: Eukaryota; Metazoa; Arthropoda; Insecta; Coleoptera; Chrysomelidae.